Molecule: ribosomal RNA, 253 nt
Filed under: uncultured bacterium
Lineage: Bacteria
Description: partial 16S ribosomal RNA
Rfam family: Bacterial small subunit ribosomal RNA
Source: RNAcentral
UACGUAGGGGGCAAGCGUUGUCCGGAAUCAUUGGGCGUAAAGAGCGUGUAGGCGGCCCGAUAAGUCCGCUGUGAAAGUCCAGGGCUCAACCCUGGUAUGCCGGUGGAUACUGUCGGGCUCGAAUCCGGAAGAGGUGAGUGGAAUUCCUGGUGUAGCGGUGAAAUGCGCAGAUAUCAGGAGGAACACCAAUGGCGAAGGCAGCUCACUGGGACGGUAUUGACGCUGAGACGCGAAAGCGUGGGGAGCAAACAGG